Molecule: long non-coding RNA, 1703 nt
Organism: Grus americana (Whooping crane)
Lineage: Eukaryota; Metazoa; Chordata; Aves; Gruiformes; Gruidae
Exons: 7
Source: RefSeq, a predicted model, not a curated record
GUGGCACUGACCCACAGGUGGGUAAGAGAGAAGGAAAGGUUGCAUAACUGUGGAGAGAUGGAAUUAGAAGGUCAUGCUAGCCUGGGUAGCGUGGGACGAGAAUAAAGCUUGUUAUUUGAGACUUCCUGCUCACUUUGAGAGCAACACAGGGUACCAGAUGGCUUCAAAACAGCAGGUGUAGAAUGAUGAUUACUUGCUUUGUCAUUUUAAACUAAGAGCAAUAAUUAUUUUUUAAGGCAGUGUUCCUGGGAAGUGGAAAAUGCAUGGAUUCGUACAAGCCUGGUAUCUUUUUCUUAAGGAUGGAACAUCUUCAGCUGUAAAAUUCAAAGUUGCUUUAGAUAGGUGUUCUGUGUAAUUCAGCUUAAACAGAGUUUCUGCUGUGUUCUAGUGGUAUUCUAAGGCAAUUCUAAGGCUAUAUUGGGGCAUAUAUUUACGGGCCUGUAAACCACUUAAUUUGAAGAAAGCCGCUAGAAUUGGAAGGUAUGGCUCUAUGGGAAAUACACCACAGAAAUCGUUAGAAAGUCUUUUCUUUUUGCCUGAUGUGUCUUCUGGAGCUCAUCUUUUUCUUGUUUGUCAGAGCGACGUCUCCCGAGACCCAAAGGCUUCAGGGCAGAGGAUGAAGGCAGAACAGUUUCAAUGGAAAGCCAUUAACUUUUCCAGCUUUUCCCAAGGUAAAUCUCGAAGAGCAGAGUGAUUUUUCAAGAGGUGCAUCAACAGACGAAGUUUGUCUCAAAGUCUUUUACUUCUGAUGUAUUAGUGGAAGUUCUUCUUGUUGCUCUUGAUGUUCCUUGUGAGUCUCAACUCCAGCUAAGCUUUGGCGUCCCUGAUAGAGUCCCUACAUGCCCAGGCAGUGUUUCUGGAUUCUGCCUUUGCAGAAGGCCUCAGCUGCUAGGGAGAAGAUGCAUUUCUGUCCUCAGCUGAAGAGGCCCUGCUGUACUGGGAUCAAAGUGGGAAUUACACCGAACACUUCCAGAAAGAAGGCCAAUACCUAAAUAUGGAUUUAUGUUCCUAACUUUAGUCGAACAUGUUGACCGAAGAGACUGGGACAAGGACACAUAUUGUGAAAGUGGGAGAAUCAAAGAAGAACUGCAGGAGCCUUGGUGCCCUGCCAUUUGUUUGAUCCCUGGGAGACUGCCUCAGUACUCAGUGUGAAAGGGCUCCUCAUCAGGUACCAACUAGGACGAUGCGCUGAGAUCCAGGGUUCAGUUUGGGGGCCCACUUCACUUGAGGCACAAAGUGCAUAGCCCGGUUAGGCAUACUCAUCAACAUUGGAGCUAUAAUGAAGAAAGUGGAAUUGAAGCCAAGUACUGCUGACAGUGCAGUUCUUCUGUGAACCCUAGCAGUUGUCACAGUCCCUUGGGGAAUUGUUAUGAAGAUAUCCUGGGAUUUCCCUCCUGAAGAGUUUUGAAAUUUUGGGUUGUUGGCUGUACAAAGGGAUAAAAGUGAAUAUCCUUCAUAAAACUUAAUUCCUGGCACUGCUCAGUACUAGUGAUGACUGCUGUAUUGACAGAGCUUUGGUGGUGAUAAUAGAUUGGAUAUAACACUUCAAAGAAAGUGGAGAGUAGAAAGCCACAAUCUAGAAAAUGUUUUAGGGAACAAGCUAGCACAAGACUUGCAGAGCUAAAAUGGCUUUCCUGUCUUCCACUUUUCUGAUUCUGUGACCCCGUACUAUGUGUUGUUAACCCAUUAAAAUAAGCUUUGAG